Molecule: ribosomal RNA, 607 nt
Filed under: uncultured bacterium
Lineage: Bacteria
Description: bacterial SSU rRNA
Rfam family: Bacterial small subunit ribosomal RNA
Source: RNAcentral
AACCGGAUUAGAUACCCUGGUAGUCCACGCCGUAAACGAUGGAUACUCGCUGCGAGCUAAAGAUUGUUCGUGGCUUAGGGAAACCGAUAAGUAUCCCACCUGGGGAGUACGCCGGCAACGGUGAAACUCAAAGGAAUUGACGGGGGCCCGCACAAGUGGUGGAGCAUGUGGUUUAAUUCGAUGAUACGCGAGGAACCUUACCUAGGCUAGAAUGCGCGUGAUCGGCUCAGAGAUGAGCCUUUCCUUCGGGACACAAAGCAAGGUGCUGCAUGGCCGUCGUCAGCUCGUGCCGUGAGGUGUUGGGUUAAGUCCCGCAACGAGCGCAACCCCUAUGUUUAGUUGCCAGCAUGUAAUGAUGGGGACUCUAGACAGACUGCCUGCGCAAGCAGUGAGGAAGGCGGGGACGACGUCAGGUCAUCAUGGCCCUUACGCCUAGGGCGACACACGUGCUACAAUGGACGGUACAGCGGGUAGCUACUGGGCGACCAGAUGCCAAUCUCGAAAAGCCGUUCUCAGUUCGGAUUGGAGUCUGCAACUCGACUCCAUGAAGCUGGAAUCACUAGUAAUCGCGCAUCAGCCAUGGCGCGGUGAAUACGUUCCCGGGCCU